AUUGAACGCUGGCGGCAGGCCUAACACAUGCAAGUCGAGCGGAUGAAGGGGGCUUGCUCCUGGAUUCAGCGGCGGACGGGUGAGUAAUGCCUAGGAAUCUGCCUGGUAGUGGGGGAUAACGUCCGGAAACGGGCGCUAAUACCGCAUACGUCCUGAGGGAGAAAGUGGGGGAUCUUCGGACCUCACGCUAUCAGAUGAGCCUAGGUCGGAUUAGCUAGUUGGUGGGGUAAAGGCCUACCAAGGCGACGAUCCGUAACUGGUCUGAGAGGAUGAUCAGUCACACUGGAACUGAGACACGGUCCAGACUCCUACGGGAGGCGGCAGUGGGGAAUAUUGGACAAUGGGCGAAAGCCUGAUCCAGCCAUGCCGCGUGUGUGAAGAAGGUCUUCGGAUUGUAAAGCACUUUAAGUUGGGAGGAAGGGCAGUAAGUUAAUACCUUGCUGUUUUGACGUUACCAACAGAAUAAGCACCGGCUAACUUCGUG
This 484-nucleotide ribosomal RNA is filed under the name uncultured bacterium. RNAcentral describes it as "partial 16S ribosomal RNA". It matches the Rfam family "Bacterial small subunit ribosomal RNA", at positions 30 to 507 of the family's 1533-position model. The record is from RNAcentral.